ACUAAACAAACAGACCUUAAGAGUUAGGGGUUGAAUGCAGCGUGAAGCAACAUACCCUCCACGUGUUUGAACUUUGAACCUGCCCUUUAUAAAUUCCAAAUUCCCACACCUCACCAAACAUCCUUCAUAAUCCAUUUUUCCUAUUUUUUGUUGCUUGUUUGUAUACUUGUCUGAUUUAGAAAUGCUAUGGCGCCCAAGCAAAGCUACUUCUUCCCACUUUCCGAUUUCAUGAAAGCAAAAAUAAUUAAAAAAUUAUAAUAAAGUAAAAAAUAAAAUCAAAAUUAUUAAAUUAUUUUCUAUAUACUACUUCAAACUUAUUUUUAUUUUU
This 328-nucleotide long non-coding RNA is filed under the name Vitis vinifera (wine grape). RNAcentral describes it as "long non-coding RNA (VVIN_LNC003268)". The record is from RNAcentral. Lineage: Eukaryota; Viridiplantae; Streptophyta; Magnoliopsida; Vitales; Vitaceae.